UCCACACUGACUUCUCCUGGCUCGGCUGACUCCUUCCUGACCUCCUGCACCUGGGGUUGCUCCUGGGUCACUGAGACGGAUUUCUGUGUCGUCGUUCUUUUGACUGGUUUCCCGGCUCAGGCCAGUUCACCCCGUGGGCGGGAGGGCCCCAACCUUUCCGAGGACCAGCCUUCGUGGCCUGCCCCGGGUGCGGCCCGUCGUCGCCCAGCUGGGCACCUGCACCUGGUCCCCUUUGGUGCCCUGUGCAACCUCGCCCCCCACCUCCAGCUGCUCCGCUCGGUCACUGUGGAUUCCCGAUGUCCUGGUAAUUGUGCAGGACCACUUGGUGUGCCUCACCUGAUGGGACACCCAGCGUCACUUCUCAGAGGCUAUUCAUCACCACCACCCCCACCUCUGUUGUGGCCUAUGCGGUCUCACCCACUGCCACCCCCACCACCACCGGUUACAGCACUCGCACAGUCCAUUUGCCAACUGAAGGGGCCCCUCAGCUGUGGCAAUUAUGUGUUUAGAGAAGAUGUCAGAGGUGCAUUACGGCCCGAAUGUUUCCCUGCUCCAACCUGGCCCCUCUGCUGUUCUCUCCUAUUGUCACCCCUAAUGAAAUUGUCACAGUUCUCUCUGUGUCAGUGUCUGCUUCCUGGAGGACUAGUGGUCACACCCUCUUGAGGGCAUGCAGUGAUUCACGGGCACACAACUCACAAACCAGCAGGAACUAAGAUGACAUGGCAGAUGCAAGGUUACCCCUUCAGGGCAGCAGUGACCACAGGGGCC
This is a long non-coding RNA of Camelus dromedarius (Arabian camel), 768 nucleotides long. RefSeq lists it as uncharacterized. NCBI's taxonomy places the organism in Eukaryota, Metazoa, Chordata, Mammalia, Artiodactyla, Camelidae. The transcript is spliced from 4 exons. The record is from RefSeq and is a predicted model, not a curated record.